CUGGUUGGAACAGAAGCUCCAUGAAGGCAGGGGUUUUCACCUAUUGCUGAAUCACCAGUUCUGAACACCUGACACACAGAUGGUGCUCAAUACUUCUGCAUGGACUGAGUAAAUGAAGGCAGAAAUUGAGACCCACGGGGAUUAAGCUCCUUUUAUUUAGCCGGUCAAGCAAAAUACCUCUUGGGUCACAUUCAGCCCACCAGUUCGGAAGUCUGGUGGAGCAAGAGAAAAGGAAUCAAGGAGAACAUCCUGAAAGACAGUCAAGGGAACAGGGGCAGCAAGAACAGAGCUGAGGAGGAGGAACCAGCAGAGUAGUGUGGUGAACAGCAAGAGAGAAUUUCAAGGAGUGAGUGGUCUACAGUGUUAAAUGCAGCAGAAAUUUCCAGGAGGAAGAACAGGAAGGUGAUCACUGGCACCGCUUCUAGAAGCAGUUUCAGUGCAGUGGUGGAGAUUAAACCCAGACAGUUGUGGGCGUUCUUUGUGGAGCUUACCAAAGGUGUUUCCUUAAUUCA
Herpailurus yagouaroundi (jaguarundi) is the source of this 512-nucleotide long non-coding RNA. RefSeq lists it as uncharacterized. NCBI's taxonomy places the organism in Eukaryota, Metazoa, Chordata, Mammalia, Carnivora, Felidae. The transcript has 2 exons. The record is from RefSeq and is a predicted model, not a curated record.